GGGGACUUCGCCAAGUGGGACGGCAGCGGCUUCCAAACCCGCCAUGAGGGAGUUCGAUUCUUCCAGUCCUCGC
This 73-nucleotide transfer RNA is filed under the name Mycobacterium phage Phabba. RNAcentral's name for it is "tRNA-Trp". It matches the Rfam family "tRNA". From Rfam's summary of the family: Transfer RNA (tRNA) molecules are approximately 80 nucleotides in length. Their secondary structure includes four short double-helical elements and three loops (D, anti-codon, and T loops). Lineage: Duplodnaviria; Heunggongvirae; Uroviricota; Caudoviricetes. The record is from RNAcentral.